CUCAUUACAACAGAUUCCAGGAACUGGAUCUGCUAGAAAGCUCCAGGAUAAACAAAGGUUUUGAGUCCAACCUUUGUGUUUUACCAAGAGGCUCACUUGAAACGGAAUUGGACAAUUCAGACAAAAUGAAACAGCCAACAUAAAUCUUAUUUUAGUGGCAAGUACAUUCAGAAAACUUGUGUCCAAGCUUUACAAAAGUCAUGGAUUAAUUCUCCUAUCUUUUGCUUGGUCGUAUUUUCAGGUUUUGUUCUCCACGAGGACGGGGACCACAUCUGUUUAUGCUCAUUGUUCAUCUCUAUUGCCUGCAACAUAGUGGGAGCUUAAUGAUAUUUGUUGACUCCAUCCAGAAAUGAGGAAGCUGGACCACCCUCAGCGUUGUGAUGAGUUAUUUGGGAUCCCAUUUGUAAUUCAGAUGGGUUGCCAGAGAGAGGCCAAAUGUUCUUUUCCUUCCUGAUGUAAAAAUUGAUUUAAAAAUC
Long non-coding RNA from Bubalus bubalis (water buffalo), 476 nucleotides. RefSeq lists it as uncharacterized. The record is from RefSeq and is a predicted model, not a curated record. NCBI's taxonomy places the organism in Eukaryota, Metazoa, Chordata, Mammalia, Artiodactyla, Bovidae. The transcript has 3 exons.